RNAcentral lists this unclassified non-coding RNA (1182 nucleotides) under Monomorium pharaonis (pharaoh ant). Its description in RNAcentral is "tetraspanin-7, transcript variant X3". Lineage: Eukaryota; Metazoa; Arthropoda; Insecta; Hymenoptera; Formicidae. The record is from RNAcentral.
UUCGCAAAUCCUCUCGCAAAUCGAUCGCGUGAACUCGGCUCGUUGCCCAAGUAAGACCUGCUUGUGCGUAAUAACCCAUAUCUUAUAUCGAAAGGGUUUUUAAUCAAGGCAAACGAAUCAAGGAAAGAAAGAUAAUACAUCUUGAGAUGAGCAAACGACUGGAAACCGUAGCCACGAUGACCUGCAUGAAGAUGCUGCUGAUGCUCUUCAAUUUCGUCUUCUGGGCGUCUGGAGUGUUGAUGCUAUGCAUCGGCAUAUGGAUGCGCCUCCAGCUGCGGGAUUACAUGAACAUGAGCGUGCAAGGCAGUGGGGCCGCUUUGCUAGCACUCGCGUGCUUAGGCGCGGUGUUGACCGUCGCUGCGGUUCUCGCCUGUUGCUGCACCGCGCGGGGUCAUCCUGCUCUACUCUAUUUGUACGGCGCGUUCCUGGCUGUUGUGGCGUUGCUAGAACUUGGCGCGGGCGCGUCUGUUUAUGCUUACCGCGCGAGUUUGAACGAGGGAUUCGAUCAAGGCUUGAACGAGAGCAUGGCAGCUUACGGGCAAGACAACUCCAAGAGCAGUCACAUCGAUACUAUGCAAUCGACUUUGCACUGCUGUGGCAAUCGCGGGUAUGCCGAUUGGCUCACUCUGGAACCACCAAAGGAUAUUCCUUUGUCCUGCUGCAAGGUGCCUCAGGAUAAGUGCGAACCGCGGAACCUAGAAGACAUUUAUACUGAGGGAUGCUACAAUCGUGUACUGGACUUCAUAAAUAGCAACAUCGGUGUUGUGGCUGGUACGGCGAUCGGUGUAGCCUUUUUCCCAUUAGUCGGCAUCUUCCUAGCAUGCUGCCUAGCCAGUAAUAUCAAUAAGGCCGAGUACGAGCAGGUUGCUUAGACAAGGGAAAUAUUAACAUCGGUGGAAUAAAUGUUCCUCCUGCACUCAUGGAACAAAUCACUGUUACAAGAGAUCUUCUUUCAGCAGAAACAUAUUACAUGUGGAGUUUUUUUAUGUACUAUGUAGAAACUAGCUUCAUCUACGUUAAAUAUACGAUCAGCGUCAUAGUUAUGUUCUUUAUACAUAUUUUCCAACAUUUUAUAAAAUUCAAGCAUAGAUUCUUUGUUAACUAUUGACUCUGAUGUAUGAUGAAUACUUGGUUUAAAAAUAUCUAAGUUUGAAUGUCUUCUUAUAAAACGAUCAAACCAGA